This 467-nucleotide ribosomal RNA is filed under the name uncultured archaeon. Its description in RNAcentral is "bacterial SSU rRNA". It matches the Rfam family "Archaeal small subunit ribosomal RNA", at positions 351 to 822 of the family's 1478-position model. The record is from RNAcentral.
UACAAUGCGAGAAAUCGUGAUAAGGGAACCCCGAGUGCCCGUAAAUUCGGGCUGUCCGCCAGUGUAAAUAACUGGUGAAGAAAGGGCCGGGCAAGACCGGUGCCAGCCGCCGCGGUAAUACCGGCGGCUCGAGUGGUGGCCACUAUUACUGGGCUUAAAGCGUCCGUAGCUGGAUUGUUAAGUCUCUUGGGAAAUCCACCGGCUCAACCGAUGGGCGUUCAGGAGAAACUGGCAAUCUAGGGACCGGGAGAGGUGAGAGGUACUCCAGGGGUAGGAGUGAAAUCCUGUAAUCCUUGGGGGACCACCUGUGGCGAAGGCGUCUCACUAGAACGGCUCCGACAGUGAGGGACGAAAGCUGGGGGAGCAAACCGGAUUAGAUACCCGGGUAGUCCCAGCUGUAAACGAUGCGCGUUAGGUGUAUCGGUGACCACGAGUCAUCGAGGUGCCGAAGGGAAACCGUGAAACGU